RNAcentral lists this ribosomal RNA (403 nucleotides) under bacterium. RNAcentral's name for it is "partial 16S ribosomal RNA". It matches the Rfam family "Bacterial small subunit ribosomal RNA", at positions 355 to 776 of the family's 1533-position model. The record is from RNAcentral.
UGGGGAAUAUUGCACAAUGGAGGGAACUCUGAUGCAGCGACGCCGCGUGAACGAAGAAGGCUUUCGAGUCGUAAAGUUCUUUUAUAUGGGAAGAUAAUGACGGUACCAUAAGAAAAAGCCCCGGCUAACUACGUGCCAGCAGCCGCGGUAAUACGUAGGGGGCUAGCGUUGUCCGGAAACACUGGGCGUAAAGGGUUCGCAGGCGGAAAUGCAAGUCAGGUGUAAAAGGCAGUAGCUUAACUACUGUAAGCAUUUGAAACUGCAUAUCUUGAGAAGAGUAGAGGUAAGUGGAAUUUUUAGUGUAGCGGUGAAAUGCGUAGAUAUUAAAAAGAAUACCGGUGGCGAAGGCGGCUUACUGGGCUCAUUCUGACGCUGAGGAACGAAAGCGUGGGUAGCAAACAGG